This 115-nucleotide ribosomal RNA is filed under the name uncultured eukaryote. RNAcentral describes it as "partial small subunit ribosomal RNA". It matches the Rfam family "Bacterial small subunit ribosomal RNA", at positions 1412 to 1525 of the family's 1533-position model. The record is from RNAcentral.
UGGCUUUACCUGAAGACGGUGCGCUAACCGCAAGAGAGGCAGGCGACCACGGUGGGCUUAGCGACUGGGGUGAAGUCGUAACAAGGUAACCGUAGGUGAACCUGCAGAAGGAUCA